Molecule: ribosomal RNA, 119 nt
Filed under: Pteropus alecto (black flying fox)
Lineage: Eukaryota; Metazoa; Chordata; Mammalia; Chiroptera; Pteropodidae
Source: RNAcentral
GUGUAUGGCCAUGCUACCCUGAAUAAGCCCGAUCUUGUCUGAUCUCGGAAGCUAAGCAGGAUUGGGCCUGAUUAGUACUUGGAUGAGAGACCACCAAGGAAGACCAGGUGCCGUAGGCA